AGAAAGUUACCGAACAUUACAAGAUCCUUCAGAAUGCCUCCUGGAAGGUNNNNNNNNNNNNNNNNNNNNNNNAAGAACAUUACAAAGACCCAUUUCUUCAUUUAUUAUUUAUUCAAGAACAUUCAAUCUUCAGCUUGAAAAAGAGGUACAAUUUUACCCACUUUUCUCGUUCUUGAUCAUUGAAGAACAAAAAAAACCUUAAUUGUGCAAAAAAUGUCAUGUCCCAAGAUCAUGUUUGGUACCAAUAUUUUAAAACAACAGUUUUUGGAAUUUUCAUUCCAACAUAUUUGCCCUAUCUAGUUUAUAAUCAAUACUUGUUGGGAACGAUGAUGGGCUUCGAUAAAACUUUUAAUCUUAUGUUUCGAUAAAAAGUGAUUCGAUGUCUUGAUGCCCAAAACAUACUGGAUAAAUUACUUAAUGACCCUGGUCCCUGAAUGUGAAAGCUAGUGGUUGCCUUAAUUGCUACUGAAGCAAUUGUCUAUAUCGGUGUCCGCUUUUCUAUUAAAAAANNNNNNNNNNNNNNNNNNNNNNNNNNNNNNNNNNNNNNNNUGGAUGCCUCAAUGACCUUUGAGAAAAAUGCAUUAUGAAUUCUUUAUUCAUAAUGAAAAAGUUGGAUGGUGGCUUUCAAAGGAAAGAAAUUUAAUAUGAAAAUUUUAUUCAAAACGUGAUGGUGUCUAUUGCCUUUUUAUGACCCUAAUUGUGAAAUUGUCACUAGUGGUAUUGUAUAUAAAGUUGGAUAUACUUUGUUCCAUGAUUUUUAUAAGGAAUUGUCUUGGUGGCCCAAAAAUGCUGGAUGAUGCCAUAUUGUGAAAGCAUUGUUGCCUUAAAUGCAAUUUUAAUGUAAAAUUUCAUUCAUAUUAUAAUGCAAGGAUAAUAUCUAUUGUGCUUUGAUGACCUUACUGAUAAGGGUUUCAAAGGAAUUCUCUUGAACAAAGUACAAAGAAACCAACUCUUUGGAGUAUAAACUAUUACUUAUAAUAUCGACUUGGUAUGUCUGGCAUUAUGCAGACAACCUAUGGCAUAUAAGGAUGCUUGCAUUGUGAUCAAUGGAGGAAACCAUAAUGAGGUUGUAUCUGAAAAAAUUCAGUAGGUGUUGGCAUAAUAGUACUAGAUGUAUGUGUUAUCAUUCUUGAUCAUUCAAUAAGAUUCAAUCUUUUGCUUGAUAAAUACAAAAGCUUUUGUUGCUGAGCAUAGCAGUGUUUAGGUUCAGCAUGCUAAUAAGGUGGUUAAUUGCCAAGGUUCAACAGUGAUUUGGAAAUCGAAAUCUCAUGGAACUGUUCUUGGAGGACUGUAACUGAAGUUGAAAUCAUGUUGUUGGGUGGUAAAGGGAAGGUUCAUCAUUCAGAUGCGGCUUCAUGCACGAAUCAGAACAACCUUUUGAAAAUGAAAAGUCAGAUCAACAGGUAUAUGAUUCCCAUCUCAGUUUCUUAUGUUUUGAUUUCAUGAGUGGAUGUAUCAAUUUUCCUAGUUUAUAUAUUUUGGAACUUUCAAUCCAAUAUAUUUUCAUCGAUACAAGUUGAGAUACAUAUUUUAAAUUUUGUCAAGAACAUUCAUUGUGUGACGAAAUCAUUUUUCAUUAUCUAAAAAAGGGUGGAGUAUAUUGCUCUAGUAACCCUAAAUUUGACCAUUGGAAUCGAUGAAUAUACUAUGUUUUAUAAAUUUUGUAACUGAUGGAUCAUAGAUGCCUCAAUGACUAUAGAGUAAAAUUUUGGAUGAACUUAAUGACCCUAGUCCCUAAAUGUGAAAACUAGUUGUUGUCUUAAUUGCUACCCAAGUAAUUGUCCCUAUCAGUGUCCGCUUUUCUAUAAAAAAAAAUUAUGAAUUUUUAUUCAUAAUAUUGCAUGAAUGAGUAUAUAUUCUGCUUUGAUGAUCCGUAGUCCCUAAAUUCAAUCAUCUGCUUGAAAAAAGGUACAACUUCUGCAAAAAAGGUAUAACUUUACCCAUUUUUCUCAUUCUUGAUCAUUCAUAAUAAUGCAUGAAUGGGUAUACAUUUUGCUUUGAUGACUCUUAGUCCCUAAAUUCAAUUCUAUAACUGCUUAUGAACAACAUUCAAUCUUCUGCUUCAUAAAAACAAAACAAAAGAUAUUGAGCAAAGGUGUUCUUUCUGUCCUAUGACCCUUUUGUUUGUUUCGUAUCAAUAACUUUUUCGUUUGGUACGGUAAAUUUUGGAAUUUUCAUUUCACUAUAUUUGCAUUCAUGAAUCAUACAUAUUGAGAUACCCAUUUUUUCAUUUUCUUUGUCAAGAACAUUCAAUCUGCUGCUUGAAAAAUGGUACAACUUUACCCCAUUUUUCGCAUUCUCGAUCAUUCAAAAACAUUCAAUCUUCUGCUUGAGAAAAACAAAAAGAACCUUAAUUGUGCAAAACGUGUUCUAUCCCAAGAUCAUGUU
This 2388-nucleotide long non-coding RNA is filed under the name Trifolium pratense (red clover). RNAcentral describes it as "long non-coding RNA (TPRA_LNC003429)". Lineage: Eukaryota; Viridiplantae; Streptophyta; Magnoliopsida; Fabales; Fabaceae. The record is from RNAcentral.